UGGACAAUGGGCGCAAGCCUGAUCCAGCAAUGCCGCGUGCAGGAUGAAGGCCUUCGGGUUGUAAACUGCUUUUGUACGGAACGAAAAGGCUCUGGUUAAUACCUGGGGCUCAUGACGGUACCGUAAGAAUAAGCACCGGCUAACUACGUGCCAGCAGCCGCGGUAAUACGUAGGGUGCAAGCGUUAAUCGGAAUUACUGGGCGUAAAGCGUGCGCAGGCGGUGAUGUAAGACAGGCGUGAAAUCCCCGGGCUCAACCUGGGAAUGGCGCUUGUAACUGCAUCGCUGGAGUGCGGCAGAGGGGGAUGGAAUUCCGCGUGUAGCAGUGAAAUGCGUAGAUAUGCGGAGGAACACCAAUGGCGAAGGCAAUCCCCUGGGCCUGCACUGACGCUCAUGCACGAAAGCGUGGGGAGCAAACAGGAUUAGAUACCCUGGUAGUCCACGCCCUAAACGAUGUCAACUGGUUGUUGGUCCUUAGCUGGAUCAGUAACGAAGCUAACGCGUGAAGUUGACCGCCUGGGGAG
RNAcentral lists this ribosomal RNA (522 nucleotides) under uncultured bacterium. RNAcentral describes it as "bacterial SSU rRNA". It matches the Rfam family "Bacterial small subunit ribosomal RNA", at positions 365 to 880 of the family's 1533-position model. The record is from RNAcentral.